Molecule: ribosomal RNA, 485 nt
Filed under: uncultured bacterium
Lineage: Bacteria
Description: SSU rRNA
Rfam family: Bacterial small subunit ribosomal RNA
Source: RNAcentral
AGGACGAACGCUGGCGGCGUGCCUAACACAUGCAAGUCGAACGAGGUCCAACCGGUGGCAACACUGGUGAAGACCGAGUGGCGAACGGGUGAGUAACACGUGAGCAACCUGCCUCGAAGACUGGGAUAACCCCGGGAAACCGGAGCUAAUACCGGAUACCCCCACCGGGUCGCAUGGCCUGGUGAGGAAAUGGAUUCCGCUUUGAGAGGGGCUCGCGGCCUAUCAGCUUGAUGGUGGGGUAAUGGCCUACCAUGGCACCGACGGGUAGCUGGUCUGAGAGGACGAUCAGCCACACUGGGACUGAGACACGGCCCAGACUCCUACGGGAGGCAGCAGUGGGGAAUCUUGCGCAAUGGGCGAAAGCCUGACGCAGCAACGCCGCGUGUGGGACGAAGGCCUUCUGGGUUGUAAACCACUUUCAGCAGGGACGAUUGUGACGGUACCUGCAGAAGAAGCCCGGCCAACUACGUGCCAGCAGCCGCGGU